This 126-nucleotide ribosomal RNA is filed under the name Bartolius pierrei. Its description in RNAcentral is "partial 28S ribosomal RNA". It matches the Rfam family "Eukaryotic large subunit ribosomal RNA", at positions 1 to 124 of the family's 3401-position model. The record is from RNAcentral. Lineage: Eukaryota; Metazoa; Platyhelminthes; Trematoda; Gymnophallidae.
CCUGACCUCGGAUCAGACGUGAUUACCCGCUGAACUUAAGCAUAUCAAUAAGCGGAGGAAAAGAAACUAACAAGGAUUCCCCUAGUAACGGCGAGUGAACAGGGAAGAGCCCAGCACCGAAGCCUA